Non-coding RNA from Coturnix japonica (Japanese quail), 437 nucleotides. The record is from RefSeq and is a predicted model, not a curated record. Lineage: Eukaryota; Metazoa; Chordata; Aves; Galliformes; Phasianidae.
UAAUAAGCAUGAUCAAUAUGGGCAUUAUCUUACUAAAUGCCGCAUUCUUCCAACACGCCUCAUUCUAUCCAGUGAGUCAAUAAAGGCUGCUACGCAUCUCUCAGUCUUGGCUACAGAGCCACAAAUGCAGCUCUUCAGAAACAGCUCAAACAAGAGUUAAGAACAUGCCAUGAUCCGGUACUCUGUAUCUCAGUAUCUCAAAGUGUUUGAUAUCCUUAUCCAGGAUAUAGAGAGCCUCACAGAAACUCAAGCAACACGAACAGGCACAACACUCAUGUCUACAGUCUGGAUCCUACUGCGUGUCAGCUGAGCCAUAGUCAGUGACCUUGCACAUACUGGAAGCCUGCAGCAAGGUAUAUGUUGCUCUUCCAUGUCUUUGCUGAAGUUGAAGAAUAUAUUUGGACGUGCAUAUAUGGCUUGGUGAAGCAAGGCCACUU